UAAAUUUUAUUUAUUAUAAUGAUUUUUUGUUAUUUUUGUUUUUAAUAGAAAUAAUUUUAUUAUUUAUUUGUUUUAGUAUAUUUUAUAGAAUGAAUUUAUUUAAUUAUAGUUUAUUAGUAAUGUAAUUGACUUAUGAAAUAAUUUUUACUUUUUGAAAAGAAGAUUUAAUUUAUUGUACCUUUUGUAUCAGGGUUUAUUAAAAUUUUAUUAAUUAUUUAAUGGUCUCGAUUUAGAUUGAUUUACAAUAGUUUAAUUUUUAAUGUUUUAAAAUUAUUUUUUAAUUUAUUGUGGUAAUGAAAUGUUAUUCGUUUUCUAAGAUAUCUAGUUUCUUAAGAAAAAGUUUAAUUUUUUAUAGUUAAUUGUUUUGGUUCUAUUUUUAGAUAAUAAAUAUUGACUUAUUUAUUUUUUAGGGGAUAAGCUUUAAGAUUAAUAUCCUAUAAUUAUUUAUAGUUAGAUAUAAUAGUAGGCUUUAUACCAGCUAUCUUAAAUAAAAUGAUUACGUUUUAGUUCAUUGUCUUUUAUUUUAAUUUUAUAAUUAUUUUAGGUUUAUUAUUAAGAUGAAAAAUUUAAUUUUAAAAUUUUUGUGAAAAUGAUAAAAUUAGUAUAAUUGUUAGUUUAUGGUGUUUUUAAAAAUAAUUUAUUUUAAGGAACUAGGCAAUUUAUAUUUCCGCCUGUUUAUCAAAAACAUGUCCUCUUGAUUAUAUUUUGAGGUUUGGUCUGCUCACUGAGUAUUUAAAUAGCCGCGGUAUAUUGACCGUGCAAAGGUAGCAUAAUCAUUAGUCUUUUAAUUGAAGGCUGGAAUGAAUGGCUUGACGAGAAAUUAACUGUCUCUUAAUAAUAUAUAGAAUUUAACUUUUAAGUUAAAAGGCUUAAAUUUAUUUUUAGGACGAGAAGACCCUAUAGAACUUAACAUAAAUAUUAUAUUUGGUUUUUAGUUAAUCUUUCCAAAUUUAUUAAUAAUGUUUUGUUGGGGUGACGUAAAAAAUAGAUAAACUUUUUAUUUUAAAAUCAUUAAUUUAUGUUUAUUAUGAUCCAUAAUUUAUGAUCAUAAGAUUAAGUUACCUUAGGGAUAACAGCGUAAUUAUUCUUAAGAGUUCAUAUCAAUAGAGUAGAUUGCGACCUCGAUGUUGGAUUAAGAAUAAUUUUAGGUGUAGUAGCUUAAUAAUUAGGUCUGUUCGACCUUUAAAUUCUUACAUGAUCUGAGUUCAAACCGGCGUGAGCCAGGUUGGUUUCUAUCCUAAAUAUUAUAUUCAUUUAUAUUAGUACGAAAGGACCAUAUAAUUAAAAUAUUUUUUAAUAGUGGAUAAAUAUUAAUACA
RNAcentral lists this ribosomal RNA (1318 nucleotides) under Fer nigripennis. RNAcentral's name for it is "16S ribosomal RNA". The stretch from base 885 to 1238 matches the Rfam family "Archaeal large subunit ribosomal RNA", at positions 2155 to 2712 of the family's 2987-position model. Lineage: Eukaryota; Metazoa; Arthropoda; Insecta; Orthoptera; Acrididae. The record is from RNAcentral.